AUCUAUGACCAAAUCACCCUGAAUGUGCCCCAUCUCAUCUUGACCUCAGAGGCUAAUCGGGUUGACCUCACGGUUAGUGCUUAGAUGGAAAACUGUAUCCGAAGGCCAGAUGUUGUAGGUU
Molecule: ribosomal RNA, 121 nt
Filed under: Petromyzon marinus (sea lamprey)
Lineage: Eukaryota; Metazoa; Chordata; Hyperoartia; Petromyzontiformes; Petromyzontidae
Source: RNAcentral